This 1305-nucleotide long non-coding RNA is filed under the name Salmo salar (Atlantic salmon). RNAcentral's name for it is "lncRNA (ENSSSAG00000094712.1)". The record is from RNAcentral. Lineage: Eukaryota; Metazoa; Chordata; Actinopteri; Salmoniformes; Salmonidae.
CCUUGCUGUGAUUAAAUGCGGUGGGUCGCGCUUUCAGUAUUGCUCGAAUGCUGCCAUUAAUCCACAGUUUUUGGUUUGGAUAAGUUCUAACCAUCACUGUAGGAACAACAUCCUCUAUGCACUUCCUGAUGAAACGAAUGACAGUCAGUGUAGGCAUCAAUGUUAUUCCCAGAGGCGGAGAGUAGCAGAAUGGAGGCGUGAUCCAAUUUUCUGAAUGACUGGCGGGUGAGAGCCUUGUAACCAUCACAGAAAGGGAGAAUAACAGGGAUCAAGUGUCUUCUCUCCCCAUGUGGCACAUGUGAUGUGCUGGUGAAAUUUAGGGAGAAUUGCAGGCAGCAUACCAAUCAGCCAAUGUGUGGCUUCCAUGCCCUGUGAGCCACUGAGCCAGUCUGAGUAGCUAGUAAUGGUGCUUUCAAGACAUCUGGGAACUCCUAACCCUAACCCUGCCAUUGGUUGAGAUACAGGGUGGGUGUUACAUUUUGGCUGAUACAUUGUUUAGAAAUAUAUUUUUUGGGACUCAAUAUACUCAAUAUACCAAAUCGAACUAAAGUAGAAAUGAUAAUGGACCUACAUUCAUUCAGCUUCUUGACUGUGUCCAGCUAGCUAAUAAUCACCAUGAAAUGAAAGCCAGACAGUAAGGGAGUAUCACAAAUUCCCAAAACAAUGGAUAAAGGACUAUUGUUUGCACAUUUUGACGGUGAGGAAAUAGAACACAUUUUCAGUACGGCUCAUGCGUCCCCCGAUGUAAAGUGAGUCUGACAACACUGACUUAGGUAACACAUUUACAUUUUAGUAAUUUAGCAGAUGCUCAACGGCACAUCGACAGAUGUUUCACCUAGUCGGCUCAGGGAGCCAAACCAGCGAUCUUUCGCUUACUGACCCAGCUCUCUUAACCGCUAUCCUCCUCUGUCUAUGUCUCCACACAACCUCUAUACACCGGGUAUCUUAUAUCCAGUCCCAUCUGUUGGUUAGCUGUGUCAAUUCCAUCAGCUGUGUUAAAUAGUAGAUAGAGGGGCUGAAAUACUGAGGCCAUCUGUUGGCAUUGCGUGACUCAGCUACUGGGCAUUGUCCAUGGGUUCAUGUGAGAGGCCAACAGGGUCAAAUACUAACCUCAGCUGCAAUCAACCCAGCCUCUCUCUCUCUGUCUCUCUCUCUCAUUGUGUCUUGUCCCAUAAAGCCACAGGAGCCUCUGUCUACAGUGUGGCUACAGUGGCCCUGUCUGACUGACCCUCAGGGGCCUGGCUUGGCUAGAACACAGAGCUGGCUUGUCUAGAACCAGCUCAGCCAAAAGCUCUCAUUUAAAUU